UAAAAGCAAUCUAUUAAAUGGCCAGUCCAGAGCAGAAAUUAAACCAUUUUUAAAUAAAUGGGAUAUGCAUGCCAGAGCUCGAAAUUCUGAUUCUGGGCCAUUACUGUCCAAUGUGCCAGUAACAAGCCAAAGGAAAAUUUCGUUUACUGUAAUAAACUGAGUCAACUCAUAUUGUUUUCAGCGAGUCACUUUCCUCAAUGCCCCCGAAUCCCAAUCGUCGACACAAAAAAGAACUGCUAAAGCAAAACCUCAAACCCAGAAAUUCGCUUUGCUCUUUUCUUUAUUUAGAGAGAGAGAGAGAGAGAGCAAAAACAAAACUAAAACAGAAUAUCCGACAUGGAUUUCUCAGAACAAGAAAUAGAUGUCUUUGGAGAAGACUAUAACAACAACAGCAACAACAAUCAUGAUGAUUCCCUUGAAUCCUCUUCCUCUCAUUCAUCUUCAUCAUCAUCCUUUGCUUCAUCGUCAUCGUCGGCUUCUUCCUCAUCCACCGGCAGGCGGCGAUACCAGCAGUUCCUGUGGAAGCGCAUGCAGCGGAGGAGAAGAAGAAAAUGGAGAAGAAUUAGGCAAUGUUAAUACCAUUGAUCUACGAUUAUAAAGAAAACAUUGAAAAGGGUAUUUUUGGGUAUGAAGAAGAAGAGGAAGAAAGAGAUCUUUUUGAGUCUGAUAAUGAAGAUUACUGUAAAACCCCUGCCACUAGCCCUUUCUCUAUUCCUGUGUUGCCGGUUAUUCGUAAUACUAAUAACCCAGGUAGAGGGGGUUUUGGACAUGGUCGCUGGCAGAAUGAUAGAGGUGCAGGCAUCCUUGGCCGUCCUGGUUAUCCUCCAAGGCAAGGUUUUGGCUCCAAAUUUGCUAAUGAACAUCGAGAUGAACGUAUUGUUUCUGAUUUAAAGCUUUCAAAAAGUGAAGAGACAUUAUCUAGAAAAUAUAUUGCUUUUCAGGAAGCGAGUAAAUUAUUUUUCCUUCUUUUUAUGAUUCAUCAAAUAUUUCGAGGUUGAUAUACCGGAGUAAUGUGAAGUAUCACUUUAGUCCAUCUGUACUUGCUUUUGUGGUCUUUUUUGCUAAAUGUGCUAAUUAAAUUUAAUAGCCAUGCGAACUUGCUUAAUAUAGCCUAUAGCUGUGUGGAAGGUGGAGAGGUGGAGAGGUUUACUUUGAUGAUCGCAGCUUGGGGCUUUUAAGUGUCUUAUUACUGAAGAUAUUGGAGCUGAUCUCAAUCAAGGUUUUGAUACUUUUAUCAAGAAAAAAAGUUUUUUCUUGGAACCAGAACUAGGCUCUGGGGUUUUGGUGACCUUGCUUGCAUAAGAGACAAAAAUAUCCCUCUUCAAAGCGUUCAUUUUGUGACUUUUCGUAACAAUCUUAAUAAGAUAUUGGCUAAUGCUUAUAUUAGAAAUGAGCCUUGAAGGCAUAUGGGAACGCGAAUUCGUCACCCUUUAAUUGGACUAUGGCCUGCUAGAUUAAGUCGGAACAAUAACGUCUACUCUAAAUCCAUUAUUCAAAGUUUUGGUCAUUCAAGUCCAGCAUUCUCAUACUACAAGCAUAAAUAGCUAUCCUCAUACCAGGUAGAGGCAUUCAAUUCCCUUCACUUUCCUCUUUAAGAUUUUUCUCAUUCUCGCUCUUUUCGAAUUUAGAGUACAAACGUCAAAAAAAAACUUUUGACAUUUACUUCUGAUUUCUAGACUUGUAAUUUUAGAUUAUUGUUAUUGUUGGACAGCUCAACACUAGCAAUAUGGUAAUUAAAAAAAAAUGAUGUGGCAAUGAAAUGGUUAAUUAUUAGAGUUGAUGUGCUAAUUAUUUAUCGAUUUGGUAUUUAAAUGAACAGCAAAAUUAUUAAUUUGAUAAUAAACUACAUUGUGUUAUUAUCAAAUUAAGUAAAUUCUGUAAGAGCUUAACACAAAUUUAUCCCAAGUAUUAAACUUAUCAUUAUAGCAAUUAUUUGAAGAUUUGACCAACGUGCAAAAUUGUGACGGCAAGUUGGGAGCUGCUCAGACUUAUUCGAGUUUAUUUAGUAUGCUUCUAUAAGCUAAUCAUAUCAGA
Non-coding RNA from Durio zibethinus, 2034 nucleotides. The record is from RefSeq and is a predicted model, not a curated record. Lineage: Eukaryota; Viridiplantae; Streptophyta; Magnoliopsida; Malvales; Malvaceae.